RNAcentral lists this small RNA (37 nucleotides) under Arabidopsis thaliana (thale cress). RNAcentral's name for it is "ATSL019100". The record is from RNAcentral. Lineage: Eukaryota; Viridiplantae; Streptophyta; Magnoliopsida; Brassicales; Brassicaceae.
UUUUUUUUUGGUUUUUUUUUUUUUUUGUUGUUUUUUU